Molecule: ribosomal RNA, 190 nt
Filed under: unidentified
Description: Tribolodon hakonensis partial large subunit ribosomal RNA
Source: RNAcentral
CUUAAUUACCAAUAUAAUUUGACGACAUUUAUAACAAAACACGGCCCAACACCAUAAACUAAACCAUUUUUUUACCUGAGUAUGGGAGACAGAAAAGGUUCAACCCAAAGCAAUAGAGAAAGUACCGCAAGGGAACGCUGAAAGAGAAAUGAAAUAACCCAUAUAAGCGCUAAAAACAAGACAAAACCUU